CGUUGUGGAGGCGGUGGAGUUAAGGUUAACCGGAAGAUGCACGACCAUACUUUCACUUUCAGUCUCAGAGCUGCAGCAUCUUCUCCACUUGGUACAGAUCGGAUUAAUCUGAUUCACAGUUUAUCCCGCAGUCAACAAUUCUCCAGUGCUAAAAACAAACCUACCAAUCAAUCAGUCCCCCUCACCAGCAGCAGGAUGGCCUUCCAAGUCUUAGUGCAUUUAGACAAAAAAACGAUCACGGUCACAGUGGCAGAAACCGAGGAACAGGCACUGAAGACUACCAUCAGAGAGUUAAAGGAGUUAAUUCUACAGACAGUGAAGGAAGAAAUCAGUAUUGACAAGUUCAGACUGAUCUUUGGGACUCAGCAGUUAGAAGAUAAUCGUACGCUGCAAGAUUAUAACAUAAUGCACGAUUCUGUAAUCAUGACGAUCUUCAUUAUAAAAGGAGGAGGGCCAGGUGCAAAACCAGAUGAACCACCAAAAAGGAGACGCAGUCGUGAAUUAACAUUUGAAGCAAUGGCUACACAGUUCCCCAACAGAUGUCUUGUACAGUAGAGAGAAUGGUCACACCAUGGUUCCGGAGGAGCUUAAUUUCGUUACAAUUUUGUGGAAAAAUAAAUUUCAAAAGUGUAUUUGCCUUUUUAUUUUU
RNAcentral lists this long non-coding RNA (649 nucleotides) under Astyanax mexicanus (Mexican tetra). Its description in RNAcentral is "lncRNA (ENSAMXG00005011715.1)". Lineage: Eukaryota; Metazoa; Chordata; Actinopteri; Characiformes; Acestrorhamphidae. The record is from RNAcentral.